UUUUCCUUAUUAGUGAAAUUUGAAGUGAUGUAGAUGUACCAUAAUUGUUUAACUUCAAAUAUUAAUGCUAAAGUUCUAUGCUGUCUGAUGUUGUACAUGUGAAAUCUUCAAAUACAUGUUGUAUAUAUGGUGUAUGUGGAGAGACUGACCGGCUUUUAUCUUCCUAUACUAGUAAUAUCAAUUGAAGUGAUAAUGCAAGCUGAUGCUACCAAAGUUUUUAGGUAAAAAUGAAUGAUUGGAUGAAGGAUUUAAAUUUUAAUAUAUCUGACGAUUGUAUGCUAGA
RNAcentral lists this unclassified non-coding RNA (283 nucleotides) under Hevea brasiliensis (rubber tree). The record is from RNAcentral. Lineage: Eukaryota; Viridiplantae; Streptophyta; Magnoliopsida; Malpighiales; Euphorbiaceae.